Molecule: ribosomal RNA, 700 nt
Filed under: uncultured bacterium
Lineage: Bacteria
Description: bacterial SSU rRNA
Rfam family: Bacterial small subunit ribosomal RNA
Source: RNAcentral
UGCAGUCGAACGGCAGCACGGGGGCAACCCUGGUGGCGAGUGGCGAACGGGUGAGUAAUACAUCGGAACGUGCCCAGUGGUGGGGGAUAGCCCGGCGAAAGCCGGAUUAAUACCGCAUACGACCUACGGGUGAAAGCGGGGGAUCGCAAGACCUCGCGCCAUUGGAGCGGCCGAUGUCAGAUUAGGUUGUUGGUGAGGUAAAGGCUCACCAAGCCGACGAUCUGUAGCUGGUCUGAGAGGACGACCAGCCACACUGGGACUGAGACACGGCCCAGACUCCUACGGGAGGCAGCAGUGGGGAAUUUUGGACAAUGGGGGAAACCCUGAUCCAGCCAUGCCGCGUGCGGGAAGAAGGCCUUCGGGUUGUAAACCGCUUUUGUCAGGGAAGAAAUCUUCCGGGCUAACACCCCGGAAGGAUGACGGUACCUGAAGAAUAAGCACCGGCUAACUACGUGCCAGCAGCCGCGGUAAUACGUAGGGUGCAAGCGUUAAUCGGAAUUACUGGGCGUAAAGCGUGCGCAGGCGGUUGUGCAAGACAGGUGUGAAAUCCCCGGGCUUAAACCUGGGAACUGCACUUGUGACUGCACAACUGGAGUACGGCAGAAGGGGGGAUGGAAUUCCGCGUGUAGCAGUGAAAUGCGUAGAUUUGCGAGAACACGAUGGCGAAGGCAGUCCCCUUGGGCCUGUACUGACGCUCAUG